Molecule: long non-coding RNA, 3561 nt
Filed under: Homo sapiens (human)
Lineage: Eukaryota; Metazoa; Chordata; Mammalia; Primates; Hominidae
Description: HSALNT0053323
Source: RNAcentral
AGCCGCCCGGGCAAUUCUUUAAAUUUAAAAGGUGCUUAUAUAGCCUGGCGCGGUGGCUCACGCCUGUAAUCCCAGCACUUUGGGAGGCCCAGGCGGGUGGAUCACACGAGGUUGGGAGUUCCAGACUAGCCUGACCAAUAUGGAGAAACCCCGUCUCUACUAAAAAAACAAAAUUAGCCAGACAUGGUGGCACAUGCCUGUAAUCCCAGCUACUCAGGAGGCUAAGGCAGGAGACUCGCUUGAACCCAGGAAGCAGAGGUUGCGGUGAGCCGAGAUCAUGCCAUUGCACUCCAGCCUGGGCAACAAGGGCAAAAACUCCAUCUCAGAAAAAAAAAGCUGCUUAUAUAAUCAAGAGAUUAAAAAUGGACAAUCUGUACAAGUGAUAUAGACAUCCCUUCUAGAUUGUUUAUAAAACAAUUAAGCACUUUGUUUAUGGAAAAUGAGAGAUCUGAAAAGUACAAGAAAACUGCUCUGUCCCCAGCUCACAGCAGCUGUGAAGAGAACCUCCCUUCUCAGUAACAGGCACAAUUUGUCUUCAGAUUUCUGCUGCCUAUAUAUUUGACACUCAUUAUUUACACCUCUACAAUCUAAUGGACAUCACUCCUUCCAUAAUUAACCAGUUUGAUAGUUACUGAAGAACAAAUUACAAUUGAACUGCUAAGACUACCUGCAAAAACAGAAAUAAAAACAAAAAAAACCCUAUUUCAUGUAAGUAAUCACUUGAUACACUGAAAACUGCUGUUAUAACUUGAGACUGUUAUUGUUAGAAAGUUAGCAUCAGGGCUGAGUGUGCACAUUAAUAUACUUCAACUUUGUCCCCAACCACUGCAACCAUUAGCAAGGUCAUUUACUCUCUCCGGAGCCUCAUUUCUUUCUAUACAAACCUGAAAUGUAAAAGUCUAACCUUUCAAUGCCCUGUGCUUAAAUGUCAAAUGGGGAAUAGUACCAGGAAAGUAUAUCUUUUUAUCAUUAUUAAAAUCCAAGGUGCCCUUGUGGAAGCAGCAAAAUGGAGUAGAUUGAAACUUUUGGGCCAACUGAAAUUUCCUAUAACACCACAAAUCCAUUGAAACAAAUAAGUAGACCAGUGGAAAUGAAAUCGUAACACUUGUUGCUGAUUCAUUUAAGAGAAAGAUAUGAGCUAGCCUUACAAUUGGGUUUCAUGUAAUACAACUGUCAAAUGCCCUGUAGUCCCAGUUACUUGGGAGGCUGAGGGAGAAGGAUCGCUUGACCCCAGAGUUCAAAUCGUUUGGGCAACAUAGAAAACUUUGUCUCUUAAAAACAAAUUGUCAAAAGUUUUCUUUAUGAAAAAUAUUAAAUCAUCAGGCUUUUUAAAUGAUAUGAUUUUUAGAUUAAGACAAGUUAUGUAACUUCUGGACAACCAUGAAAUAAGAUAUUAUUACUGAUAAACUUCAUAGCAAUGUUAAAAGACCACAUUUUGAAAAAUACAGGCAUAUCUUGGAGAUAUUGCAGGUUUGCUUCCAGACAACUGUAAUAAAAUGUUUAACACAAUAAAGGGAGUCACACAAUUAUUUUUAUUUUCCAGUACCUAUAAAAGUUAUGUUUAAUCUAUAUUAUAGUCUAUUAAGUUUGCAAUAGCAUUAUAUCUGACAAUGUACAUACUUUAAUUUAAAAAUAUUUUAUUGCUAAAAGAUGUUAACGAUAAUCUAAGUCUUCAGUGAGUCUUUGUUGCUGGAAGACAGUCUUGCCUCACUGUUGAUGGCUGCUGAAUGAUCGGUGUGGUGGUUGCUGAAGGUUAGUGUGGCUCUAGAGAUUUCUUUAAAUGAGACAACAAGGAAGGCUGCAACAUCAACUGACUCUUCCUUUCCGAAAGAUUUAUCUGUAGCAUGUGUUGCUGUUGGAUAGCCUUUUACCCACAGUGGAACAUUCUUCAAAAUUGAAGUCAAUCCUCUCAAACUCUGCUGCUGUUUUAUCAACUAAGUUUAUGUAAUAUUCUAAGUCCUUUGUUGUCAUUUCAACAAUGGUCACAGGAUCUUCACCAGGAGUAGUUUCCAUCUCAAGAAACCACUUUUGUGGCUCUUAUAUUAGAAGCAACUCCUCAUUUGUUCACGUUUUAUCAUGAGAUUGCAGCAAUUCAGUCACAUAUGCAGGUUCCACUUCUAAGUCUAGUUAUCUUGCUAUUUCCACCACAUCUGCAGUUACUUCGUCCACUGAAGUCUUGAACCCCUCAAGAUCAUCCAUCAGGGUUGAGGUCAAUGUCUUCUGAACUCCUGUUAAUGUUGAUAUUUUGACCUUCUCCCAUGAAUCACAAAUGUCCUUAAUGGCAUCUAGAAUGAUGAAUCCUUUCCAGAAGGUUUUCAAGUUACUUUGUACAGAACAACCACUAUGGCAGCCACAGCCUUACAAAAUGUAUUCCUUAAAUAAUACUUGAAAGUCAAAAUUACUCCUUGACCCAUGGAGUAAUGGAUCCUGCAGAAUGGAUGUUGUUUAGCAGACAUAAAAACAUUAAUCUCUUUGUACAUCUCCAUCAGAACUCUUGGGUGACCAGACACAUUAUCAACGAGCAGUAAUAUUUGGAACUAAAUUUUUUUUUUUUUUGAGACAGUCUCACUCUGUUACCCAGGCUGAAGCACAGUGGUGCAACCUCAGCUCACUGCAACCUCUGCCUCUGGAUUCAAGCAAUUCUCCUGCCUCAGCCUCCCAAGUAGCUGGGAUUACAGGCACACACCACCACAUCCAGCUAAUUUUUGUAUUUUUAGUAGAGAUAGGGUUUCUCCAUGUUGGUCAGGCUGGUCUCAAACUCCUGACCUCAACUGAUCCACCUGCCUUGGCCUCCCAAAGUGUUGGGAUUACAAGUGUGAGCCACCACACCUGACAGAAUUCUUUUUUCCUAAUAUUUAGUAGGUCUCAACAGUGGGCUUAAAAUAUUCAGUAAUCCAUGCUGUAAACAGAUGUGCUGUCAUCCAGGCUUUGAUCUUCCAUUUCUAGAGCACAGGCAGAGUGGAUUUAGCAUAAUUCUUAUGGGCCCUAGGAUUUUCUGAAUGGUAAAUGAGCAUUGGCUUCAACUUAAAGUUACCAGCUGCAUGAACCCCUAACAAGAGAGACGAGCUGUCCUUUGAUGCUUUUAAGCCAGGGAUUAACUUCUCUUCUCCAUGAAAGUCCUAGAUGGUUUCUUCUUCCAAAAGAAGGCUGUUUGGAAUACACUGAAAAUCUCGUGGUGUAGCAACUUCAUCAAUUAACUUAGCUAGAUCUGGAUAAAUUGCUACAGCUUCUACACCAGCACUUGCUGCUUCACCUUGCACUUUUAUGAUAAGAUGACUUCUUAAACCUCAUGAACCAACCUCUGCUAGCUUCAAACUUUCCUGCAGCUUCCUCACUUCUCUCAGCCUUCAUACAAUGGCAGUUAUGGCCUUGCUCUGGAUUAGGUUUUGGCUUAAGGGAAUUUGUGGUUGGUUUGAUCCAGACCCCUAAAACUUUCUCCAUAUCAGUAAUAAUGCUGUUUCACUUUUUUUGGUUUCAUUCUGUCACACAGGCUGGAGAUUUGCUAGGCAUAAGAGCCGUAAGACUGCCAAGAUAAAGCUCAUGAGGAGUGAGAAGAAGGGG